RNAcentral lists this long non-coding RNA (4218 nucleotides) under Malus domestica (apple). RNAcentral's name for it is "long non-coding RNA (MDOM_LNC010214)". The record is from RNAcentral. Lineage: Eukaryota; Viridiplantae; Streptophyta; Magnoliopsida; Rosales; Rosaceae.
CGGUUACAUAAAUUUGAAUGUACCAAGAACAAAUUUAGUUUGUAUAGCCUUAAAUUACCAUCAGCAACUUAAUCAAUUAAUCAACUAAAUAUUAAUACUAUGUAUUGUAUUUUAAUUCCAAGGUAUGUUCUGCAUAUGUAUCCACUGUAUAAUUUGGUUGUGUAGGAAUAGUUUUAUGCCAUAGAAACAAUAUGGCUUCUCCCCGGUCAACAAAAGCUUUUUUUUUAAUCAUUGGAGAACAAAGUUGACAUCUGCAGCACUGAAAUACCUGCAAUUGAAGGAAACGAAGUGUUGCAAAAUGGAAUUCGUUUACUAAAAAUGUAAAUAAAAUUUCCUGCAAAGUAAGUAAACUAAUUUGAGCAAUCUUAUUUUAACUUUAAUAGAAGACUCAUACAAAUGGAACAAAUGAAAGUCUAAUUUUUUAGCUAAAUAACACAAACUGAUAAAAAAGAAGCUAAACUCCAAAAGUAAAAUAAUAAAGUAAAAACUUUCAACUGGGUUUAUCAAAACCUAAGUAUAUAAUCAUAUAUUAAGCUAAUCCUUGAAAUGACUCAAUUCGUUCGGUUUGAGAUUUUUUUAAUUGUGCUUCAACUAAAUACAUGUGUAUAUAGAUGCUUGUUAAUGCAUUUCUACGCAGAUGGUUAAUUAAUUUCAAAAGAUCGUUUUGUAAAUUUGCCAUUGAAUAAAAUCUUUGGCAAAACUGCGGUGCGAUCAAAAUGUUUGCAACUUAUUUUGUCAAUUUUGAUCUCCGAUUCUGUCCACUCAUUUUCAAAUAAAUUGGCAUCUAAGGUAAUGCUAUGAAGCAGCUGAUUGACUAAUCACCAAGAACGUCAAGAGUUUUUUUUUUUUCACUCACAACCAAAGAAAAACCAUAUACUUCCUAAUUGGGGAAACACUUCAAAAACCUAAAGUAAUAAUGAAUUCGAAUUUGAAUCAGAAGGAAGCCACAAUUGUUUUAAAACUCCUAAUAAAUUUGAUAACUAAGCUGAAAGAUUUUUUUCAAAGCCUUAAAAUAUAUAAGCAAAACUCUAAAAGAGAAUUGUUAUUAGCACUCUAAAAAUUUCAUUUAGCACUCCAAACUUUCUAUAAUUAGAAAGAAAAAUACACUUACAAGGAGUGUAGAAUGAGAUUUUUGGAGUGCUAAUAACAGUUUCCACUCUAAAUACUCGUCACUAUUUACCAAUAAAAAGUUCUUUAUAAUUUCAACUCACUAUUUAAUUCCAGGAUUGAUCCAAUGAGAUACCGUAGUUUUAGUGAAGUAUAACUUACAAAUUAAUUAUUUGUCUUCUCAAUCAGCAGGUAUACCAAUUGAAAUAACCAAUGAAAACUUUUGAAUAUUCUAGUGAUCCAAUGAAAACUUUUGAAUAUUCUAGUGAUCAGCCACCACCCCUACCUUUUCACCAACCUCCUCCGUUUUUUCCUCAUCCAAAACAAUUCCGACGACGACAGCCUCACCGUUCAAUUCGCCGACGCUCAAGACAGAGACGGGGACCAAUUCGGCGUCCUCUUCGACCCUUUUGGCACCUCAACGACUUGGAGGAGCCCGUUGUACUAUUUGAAGGGCAAGCUCGAGCAUGUCGAGCGCGAACUCAGGCCAAUGAUGCCGGCGCUGGUGGCGAGUGCAAAGGACGAGCAGAGAGGUAGAAAAGAAAAAGGGGUUGGUCGCUGGAUUGGAUGGGAGGGUUCGAGAGAAAGGUAGGAAGGCAGCGGUGCCGACGAAGGAGGAGGAAGGGAGAUCGUGGCUUUCUGUGUUGGGAGAAGAAGAAGAAAUAGAGUGGAAGAAGACGUAGGGGGAGGUAGAAGAGGACCAAAUUUUUUUUUUAAAUUUUAAUUUGAUGUGGUGCUCAAUUAUUGUCCACAUGGGUGUCACGUUAUUAGUUAACGAGAGACUUAACCGCCAGACUAAUGGAUAUCUGAGACUGUUCCAAAAUUAACACUUUAGGUAUGACUCUAGGACGAAAAAAACUUCAUGUACCAAAUGUUAAGACCCACAAAACUUAAAAGUAGUAAACUAACAUUUACCCUAAAAAAUAAUAAGUUUUAGAACAUAUUACAUAAACCACUCAUCUCGAUUAAUAGCUAGAACUCCGACAAAACAAGUUCACUAAUAAUCUACACACACAAGCUUACUAACCCAAGUCUCUUUCUCUCUCUCUCUCUCUCUCUAUAACAUAUAUAUACACACACGUAUAUUACGUGAUCUCCAGAGCAUGCUCAUUUCUAAAAUCAAUGGAGCAAAGCUCUUAUUUAUAGUAGUAUAGGUCGGCCAAAAGACUUGGUGCUAAGUAAAACAAUAAUAAAAUAUAUUGAAUGAUGAUUUAACUCUGCAGAUAUACCUAAGCAUUUGAAUGCAUGCAGAUGUGUCAAGUAUAUACGUGAUGAGUGGCUUAAGAGCUGUCAAACUUUCAUGCCUCUAGCUAACACCUCGUGCAAGUAGACUUCCACCUCCAGGGCUCAUAGCCACACACAUAUGAAGUUAUGAAUAAUUAAGCCACAUGGUGGCAUUUCAUAAGACAGGAAUGCAAUUUGAUGAUAGAUAGGUUGACAAGUGGAAGAUGACAUGGAUUUAAAUAAACCAAUAAAUCUUAACUGGUAAAUAUUCACCCGUUGUUGAUGUCAAUAGCAUGUGAGAAUAUUAUUACGGCUACUGAAGUAUAAAAUGCAAUGCGUGGACAUUUAGAUAACAAAGUAAUAUUACCAAAUAAAUAUAAAUAACCUAUUUUAGUUAGCUAUGAAAAAAAAUCUUUGAAGUGUGUUUCUAUAUUGGCCGUAGAAGGUGUGGUCCGCUGUCCUGCCCUAAAGAGGAUGUGAAUGAUAGCUGCUUUAUGAUUGAAAGAGUGUUUGAUGAUGAACCAAAGAUUUACCCUGAAGAUGUGCAAGUGGAGGAGGAUAUUAAGUACUAGUUUGUUAUUAAGGUACUUUUAUAAAAAAUGAGUAUAAAAAAAAGCUGAGCUAAAAAAAGUGUUUGGUAAACACUUAAAAACAACUUAUUUUCACAGUUUUUGGUGAAAAAAAACUGAAAACGUGAAGCAGCAAAAAUAAGCUUAUUCGCAUAGUAGAAACAGUUUUUUUUCAAAGCACAUCAAUACCAAACCAGCCCUAAAGAGGCUCUACAAAGUGAUGUGCUCCUCUGUUUUCCGGUGGCGGUGACUCAGGAUGUGACAACAUUAAGGCUGAGGAUGGAGCUCAGAAAUUGGAUGGUGAUGGCCCAGAUGAGGAAGGAUGGACCACUGUGAUCCCAAGGUGGCUUAGAAGGGCUGAGAAAUAAAAGGCUUCUGAAUAAGGGGUGGGAGGAUAGUGUGCCAAAGGAGAACAACAAGGUGUCAAAGUAUAAGUGGGUGGCUCGGGCUGACCUUACGCAGGACUGGAGGAAAACUGAUAAGGCUGUGGAGCAAGUGCAGGAGGUAAGUAUAUUUUUCAUUUGCUCGGGAUGCCUUGAGUUAGUUAACUGCGAUAAUAAGCCUUGUUUGAUUGUUGAUAAAGUUUGUGUUACAUGUGUUUGCUGGAAUGUUAAAAACCAUUUACAUUAUAUGCAAUUAUGCAGUGAUAACAUAUAUUUCCUUGCCUUGGAGUGUGAUUAUUUGUUCUGGCAUGUGCUUCUCCUAAGUAAUGUGAAUGUUGAUUGCUAUUUAUGUGUUCAAGAGGUAAUUAUGCAAGAGGGUAGUAGGACUGGGGGAAAGUAGUAGACGUCUUGAUGCGGUGGCAUCUAGCUUGGCAGCUAAAGCUACUCCGUUGGCCCCAGACCAAUUGUAGGCCUGAUAAGUCCAAGGAAGUGUAUCCGUGAGGAGAUUGCAGAAGCAGAUACCAGCUACAAAAAUCUUCAUGAAGAAAUUGACUGAUGGGGUGCAUGUCAUGGAAUUCUAGGGGUCUAGGGAGACCUGAUUUUAAAAGUAACUUUAGCUUUUUAUGUAGUAGCUUUAGAUUGGACCUUUUUGGUUUAAUGGAGACCAAAAUGGAAGUGAACAAGAUCCAAGGGAAUUUCUGCGGCAGUAUUUUUAUGAAGUUGUUAAUUGCAGCCCCACUGGUCGGAUUGGAGGGUUGGUACUACUUUGGAACUCAAAUUACUAUCAAUGUGAUUGCUAGUUCUUCUCGUUAUUUACACUGUGUAGAUCUUCUCAUUAUUUACAUUAUGACCUUCCAAGAAAACAUCAUCGACAAGCGCAGCCUUCUUUGCAGGGCCUUGUUCUAGGCGUGGCAUUCGCCACCCAUCUCUGUGGC